UUGGGAAUCUUGCACAAUGGGGGAAACCCUGAUGCAGCGACGCCGCGUGGAGGACGAAGGAUCUAGGUCUGUAAACUCCUUUUUCACGGAAAGACUUAGGACGGUACCGUGAGAAUAAGCCCCGGCUAACUACGUGCCAGCAGCCGCGGUAAGACGUAGGGGGCGAGCGUUGUCCGGAUUUACUGGGCGUAAAGAGCGCGUAGGCGGCUCGUUAAGUGUGAAGUGAAAUCUCCAGGGCUCAACCCGGAAACUGCUUCGCAUACUGGCGAGCUUGAGGAAUGCAGAGGUAAGUAGAAUUCCUGGUGUAGCGGUGAAAUGCGUAGAUAUCAGGAGGAAUACCGACGGCGAAGGCAGCUUACUGGGCAUUAUCUGACGCUGAGGCGCGAAAGCGUGGGUAGCAAACAGGAUUAGAUACCCAUGUAGUCCCUGAGCGGGCUGGCAAGGCGCAU
Molecule: ribosomal RNA, 449 nt
Filed under: uncultured bacterium
Lineage: Bacteria
Description: bacterial SSU rRNA
Rfam family: Bacterial small subunit ribosomal RNA
Source: RNAcentral